CCUCUACAUAAUGAAGAAAUUAUCUCCUACCUUUUCACCAAGCUUGACUCUGAAUAUGAUCCCAUCGUGACCUCUCUUAAGACCCAAUCAAAUCAUCUUAGCCUUGAUGAUAUCUACGCACAUCUUCUCACCUUCGAGA
Molecule: small nucleolar RNA, 139 nt
Organism: Phragmites australis (common reed)
Lineage: Eukaryota; Viridiplantae; Streptophyta; Magnoliopsida; Poales; Poaceae
Product: small nucleolar RNA Z247
Exons: 1
Source: RefSeq, a predicted model, not a curated record